Manis javanica (Malayan pangolin) is the source of this 1344-nucleotide non-coding RNA. Lineage: Eukaryota; Metazoa; Chordata; Mammalia; Pholidota; Manidae. The record is from the annotation of a RefSeq genome assembly.
AUGGGGCUGGUGAUUGGAGUAAGUGUGUUUCUGAUCUUGGGGAUUAUGACUAAUGCUAAGACCACCCAGAUCAACUUCCAGGAUCAUGCUGAAGGCGAAGAUGUAAACCUGCACUGUAACCACUCUACCAUUGGUGGAAAUGAGUAUGUGCACUGGUAUUGGCAAAAUUCCAAUCAGAGUCCACAGUAUAUAAUUCACGGCUUAAGAGACACUGUGAUUAAGAGCAUGGCCUCUCUGACUAUCACAGCACACAGGAAGUCCAGUACCUUGACCCUGCGCCGGGUUACCCUGAGAGACGCCGCUGUGUACUACUGUGUGAGAACCAAGGGAGGAAUGACUGGUAAACUCACAUUUGGAAAAGGAACCAAACUGUCCGUAAUGUCUGAUAUCAAGAACCCCAACCCCGCAGUGUACCAGCUGAAAAGCCCUAAAUCCAGCAACACUUCCGUCUGUCUAGCCACUGAUUUUGAUUCUCAAAACAAUGUGCCAGAAGUCACAGAUUCCUUAGCAUACAGCUCCAACAGCACCGUGCUGGACAUGAAGGCCAUGGACUCCAAGAGCAACGGGAUGCUGGCCUGGAGCAGCCGCAUCGAUUUUAAAUGCGAAGACGCCUUCAACCAGAUCUUCCACCCUAACUCAGAAUUGCCCUGUGAUUCCAAGUUGGCAGAGCAAAGCUUUGAAACAGAUAUGAACCUAAACUUCCAAAACCUGUCGGUGAUUGGGUUCCGCCUCCUCCUUCUGAAAGUGGUCGGGUUCAACCUGCUCAUGACGCUGCGGCUAUGGUCCAGCUGAGGUCGCCAAGAAUGUAAGAGCAAGACGCUCCCUGGCUCCCUGCCUCUCAUCACCCCACCCCUGCCUCUUCAAGCAGAGGUGCACUCUCUGCCCCCCUGGAGGGGAAGGUCCUUCCAACCUCUCUGGCCCCACUGGCAAUGCCACCAACUGGAUCCUACCAGAUAUUUGUGAUCAAGAUGCUGAAGAGCUGCCAAAUGCUGCUGUCACCCACUCUGUUCCCUCACUGCUACUUGUCACAGCCCCACAUUGCCAGAAAAGGCCGGGGCUGAAGCCCCUCCUGGCUGUGGCAUAACUCCCUAUCCCUCCCCCAGAGACUGCCUCUGAUGUUCCACUGCAUGGGGGAUCCCCAGUGGGGUGUCUGGGGCCCUAGCUCCUGGAGAAUGUUGUGACUGGUUUAUAUUUUUUUAAUAGUGUUCAUGAAAAAAUACAUAUCACUCUUUUCCCAAGAUGUGGGGGAAAUUAUCCCAUUAUCUAGGCCCUGCUAUGCUGUGUCUCUCAGCCCCAUUGUAUAUUCUGCUGUCAUGGCUUCAUUAAAAGCAGCUUGGAGGAGAA